CGUUCUUCGGCUUUCUCAGAGUUCCGAGGAAAGGCAGGGUGUGUACAAGUGUAGGAGAUGUUAGAGCAGUUACUAAUAUUUACCCGAGGGGGAUUAAUCCUCUAGACAUGUAAAGAGCUUGGAAAUGUUCUUAGGGGAUCACCAAUUGACACCUUGAUCAGGUCUUGUCUUUUGCAAGAACGACAAGGAGGUGGAAAUUUCUGGCUUUAGAUUUCUGGCCAAACAGGAGCUCACAGGAAGAUUUCAAAGGUUGUUGUAAACUGAUUUUAGAAGAUUGGUUUUCUUAAUUUCUUGGAGAGGUAAUACCCAAUAUGAUUGUUGGAAUUUUUGGAUUUCGAGCAACAAUUUAUGCUGAUUUGGACAAAAUGAUAAGGUUUUUUGGAGAUCUUUAUAAGCACAAUUUUAGGGUUAAAAUAGAGGACUUGAGGGUACUAAAAAUAUAUUGUGAGGUCUUGAGUAUCAAGCUUUGUGUUU
Non-coding RNA from Corylus avellana, 474 nucleotides. Lineage: Eukaryota; Viridiplantae; Streptophyta; Magnoliopsida; Fagales; Betulaceae. The record is from RefSeq and is a predicted model, not a curated record.